AGGGUUCGAUUAUGGCUCAGGAUGAACGCUAGCUACAGGCUUAACACAUGCAAGUCGAGGGGAAACGACAUCGAAAGCUUGCUUUUGAUGGGCGUCGACCGGCGCACGGGUGAGUAACGCGUAUCCAACCUGCCCACCACUUGGGGAUAACCUUGCGAAAGUAAGACUAAUACCCAAUGAUAUCUCUAGAAGACAUCUGAAAGAGAUUAAAGAUUUACCGGUGAUGGAUGGGGAUGCGUCUGAUUAGCUUGUUGGCGGGGUAACGGCCUACCAAGCCGACGAUCAGUAGCCGGACUGAGAGGUUGAUCGGCCACAUUGGGACUGAGACACGGCCCAG
This 337-nucleotide ribosomal RNA is filed under the name uncultured bacterium. Its description in RNAcentral is "bacterial SSU rRNA". It matches the Rfam family "Bacterial small subunit ribosomal RNA", at positions 8 to 334 of the family's 1533-position model. The record is from RNAcentral.